RNAcentral lists this ribosomal RNA (682 nucleotides) under Salmonella enterica subsp. enterica serovar Newport. RNAcentral's name for it is "partial 23S ribosomal RNA". It matches the Rfam family "Bacterial large subunit ribosomal RNA", at positions 2164 to 2840 of the family's 2925-position model. Lineage: Bacteria; Pseudomonadati; Pseudomonadota; Gammaproteobacteria; Enterobacterales; Enterobacteriaceae. The record is from RNAcentral.
GUGGACGCCAGUCUGCAUGGAGCCGACCUUGAAAUACCACCCUUUAAUGUUUGAUGUUCUAACGUGGACCCGUAAUCCGGGUUGCGGACAGUGUCUGGUGGGUAGUUUGACUGGGGCGGUCUCCUCCUAAAGAGUAACGGAGGAGCACGAAGGUUGGCUAAUCCUGGUCGGACAUCAGGAGGUUAGUGCAAUGGCAUAAGCCAGCUUGACUGCGAGCGUGACGGCGCGAGCAGGUGCGAAAGCAGGUCAUAGUGAUCCGGUGGUUCUGAAUGGAAGGGCCAUCGCUCAACGGAUAAAAGGUACUCCGGGGAUAACAGGCUGAUACCGCCCAAGAGUUCAUAUCGACGGCGGUGUUUGGCACCUCGAUGUCGGCUCAUCACAUCCUGGGGCUGAAGUAGGUCCCAAGGGUAUGGCUGUUCGCCAUUUAAAGUGGUACGCGAGCUGGGUUUAGAACGUCGUGAGACAGUUCGGUCCCUAUCUGCCGUGGGCGCUGGAGAACUGAGGGGGGCUGCUCCUAGUACGAGAGGACCGGAGUGGACGCAUCACUGGUGUUCGGGUUGUCAUGCCAAUGGCACUGCCCGGUAGCUAAAUGCGGAAGAGAUAAGUGCUGAAAGCAUCUAAGCACGAAACUUGCCCCGAGAUGAGUUCUCCCUGAGACUUAGAGUCUCCUGAAGGAACGUUG